This 125-nucleotide small RNA is filed under the name Marmota monax (woodchuck). Lineage: Eukaryota; Metazoa; Chordata; Mammalia; Rodentia; Sciuridae. The record is from RNAcentral.
GCCGGGCAUGGUGGCGCAUGCCUGUGAUUCCAGCGGCUCAGGAGGCUGAGGCAGGAAGAUCUCAAGUUCAAGGCCAGCCUCAGCAAUAGUGAAGCCCUAAGCAACUCAGGGAGGCCCUGUCUCUG